RNAcentral lists this ribosomal RNA (727 nucleotides) under uncultured beta proteobacterium. RNAcentral describes it as "bacterial SSU rRNA". It matches the Rfam family "Bacterial small subunit ribosomal RNA", at positions 769 to 1501 of the family's 1533-position model. The record is from RNAcentral. Lineage: Bacteria; Pseudomonadati; Pseudomonadota; Betaproteobacteria.
CAAACAGGAUUAGAUACCCUGGUAGUCCACGCCCUAAACGAUGUCUACUAGUUGUCGGGUCUUAAUUGACUUGGUAACGCAGCUAACGCGUGAAGUAGACCGCCUGGGGAGUACGGUCGCAAGAUUAAAACUCAAAGGAAUUGACGGGGACCCGCACAAGCGGUGGAUGAUGUGGAUUAAUUCGAUGCAACGCGAAAAACCUUACCUACCCUUGACAUGGAUGGAAUCCCGGAGAGAUUUGGGAGUGCCCGAAAGGGAACCAUUACACAGGUGCUGCAUGGCUGUCGUCAGCUCGUGUCGUGAGAUGUUGGGUUAAGUCCCGCAACGAGCGCAACCCUUGUCAUUAGUUGCUACGAAAGAGCACUCUAAUGAGACUGCCGGUGACAAACCGGAGGAAGGUGGGGAUGACGUCAAGUCCUCAUGGCCCUUAUGGGUAGGGCUUCACACGUCAUACAAUGGUACAUACAGAGGGCCGCCAACCCGCGAGGGGGAGCUAAUCCCAGAAAGUGUAUCGUAGUCCGGAUCGUAGUCUGCAACUCGACUACGUGAAGUUGGAAUCGCUAGUAAUCGCGGAUCAGCAUGUCGCGGUGAAUACGUUCCCGGGUCUUGUACACACCGCCCGUCACACCAUGGGAGCGGGUUUUACCAGAAGUAGGUAGCUUAACCGCAAGGAGGGCGCUUACCACGGUAGGAUUCGUGACUGGGGUGAAGUCGUAACAAGGUAACC